UACGUAGGGUGCGAGCGUUGUCCGGAAUUAUUGGGCGUAAAGAGCUUGUAGGCGGUUUGUCGCGUCUGCUGUGAAAAUCCGGGGCUCAACCCCGGACUUGCAGUGGGUACGGGCAGACUAGAGUGUGGUAGGGGAGACUGGAAUUCCUGGUGUAGCGGUGAAAUGCGCAGAUAUCAGGAGGAACACCGAUGGCGAAGGCAGGUCUCUGGGCCACUACUGACGCUGAGGAGCGAAAGCAUGGGUAGCGAACAGG
Molecule: ribosomal RNA, 253 nt
Filed under: uncultured bacterium
Lineage: Bacteria
Description: partial 16S ribosomal RNA
Rfam family: Bacterial small subunit ribosomal RNA
Source: RNAcentral